RNAcentral lists this ribosomal RNA (413 nucleotides) under uncultured eukaryote. RNAcentral describes it as "partial 18S ribosomal RNA". It matches the Rfam family "Eukaryotic small subunit ribosomal RNA", at positions 592 to 976 of the family's 1831-position model. The record is from RNAcentral.
CAAUAGCGUAUAUUAAAGUUGUUGCAGUUAAAAAGCUCGUAGUUGGAUUUCUGCCUCUGGGGGCUGGUCCGCCUAACGGUGAGCACUGGUUUGCGUGUGUGCUGCUUGUGUGGCAUGCGCGGAGUCCUGGGGGCAUCCUCUCGAAGGCGUGUGGUGCACUUAGGUGUGUGUUGCAUGGAUUCGGGAUCUUUACUUUGAAAAAAUUAGAGUGUUCAAAGCAGGCGAUGUUGCUUGAAUAUAUUAGCAUGGAAUAAUGGAAUAGGACUUUGGUUCUAUUUUGUUGGUUUCUAGGACUGAAGUAAUGAUUAAUAGGGACAGUUGGGGGCAUUAGUAUUUAAUUGUCAGAGGUGAAAUUCUUGGAUUUAUGAAAGACUAACUACUGCGAAAGCAUUUGCCAAGGAUGUUUUCAUUAA